RNAcentral lists this ribosomal RNA (492 nucleotides) under uncultured bacterium. RNAcentral describes it as "partial 16S ribosomal RNA". It matches the Rfam family "Bacterial small subunit ribosomal RNA", at positions 29 to 507 of the family's 1533-position model. The record is from RNAcentral.
AGUGAACGCUGGCGGUAGGCCUAACACAUGCAAGUCGAACGGCAGCACAGUAAGAGCUUGCUCUUACGGGUGGCGAGUGGCGGACGGGUGAGGAAUACAUCGGAAUCUACUUUUUCGUGGGGGAUAACGUAGGGAAACUUACGCUAAUACCGCAUACGACCUACGGGUGAAAGCAGGGGAUCUUCGGACCUUGCGCGAUUGAAUGAGCCGAUGUCGGAUUAGCUAGUUGGCGGGGUAAAGGCCCACCAAGGCGACGAUCCGUAGCUGGUCUGAGAGGAUGAUCAGCCACACUGGAACUGAGACACGGUCCAGACUCCUACGGGAGGCAGCAGUGGGGAAUAUUGGACAAUGGGCGCAAGCCUGAUCCAGCUAUGCCGCGUGGGUGAAGAAGGCCUUCGGGUUGUAAAGCCCUUUUGUUGGGGAAGAAAAGCAGCAGGUUAAUACCCCGCUGUUCUGACGGUACCCAAAGAAUAAGCACCGGCUAACUUCGUG